This 710-nucleotide long non-coding RNA is filed under the name Triticum aestivum (bread wheat). RNAcentral describes it as "long non-coding RNA (TAES_LNC000060)". Lineage: Eukaryota; Viridiplantae; Streptophyta; Magnoliopsida; Poales; Poaceae. The record is from RNAcentral.
AGGCUUCUAGAUUCGCUCGCGGCAUGCGCUGAUUCUGAAUCUUCAACGAGGGUGUUUGCUUAACGCCGCUUCUUGCCAUCUGCGGAAGAACACUAUAAAAUUUGCAUUCGUCGCGAAUUUCAGUUAAGAUGGUUCAAUUAGCAACACACCUCAAACUAGCAAAAUUCUACUCCCUCCGUUGGGACGGAAGGAGUACUUCUUAAACAUAUAGCAGAGAUUUCUUCAGUCUGAAAUUUGACCCCCAAAAAAGUGCCGAUUCCUCAACCAUGUACCGCCUCUUUCAAAAUGCAUCAAACUAUUUAAACUGGUGCAGCUAAACAAUGUAAAAAUAAACCACAAAGGUGAACAAGAUGAGCUCUCUCCCACUCUAACCUGAUACAGUUUGGUGUAUUUCCCUUUCAACAAAGGAACCAGACCCCCCGCAAAAGGAAAAAAAAAACAAAGGAACCAGACUUUGUAUUGAUCUUCUUCUGUAGUACAGUAUUUCUCAGCAAAGAAAACAAAUAAUGGCAACGUUUGCAUCCUUUUACGUUUGGAUAUUGAACCCUGCGACACAGUUUUUUCAUUGGUUAAGUUAGCUAUAAGUAAAACAUCUACUAUACCAAAUUGCGGCAGAAGAACACAUACUAUAUGUACCUUGUGACACCAACUGACAGCCUAACUGGAUUGUUGACUGCACAAUGUGGUGAGAGAAGGUAACCCAAGUAACC